UUAGGACUACUGAUUGUUUGGGGACAUCCAAAAUCACUCAGGAUUGUGGUGACCAGUUGAACAGAGAUAUGCCAAAUGCAGGCAGUGAUUUAUAUCCCUGCAGAAGGAGUCUCGCCCUGUCACCAGGCUGGAGUGCGAUGGUGCAAUCUCUGCUCACUGCAACUUCCACCUCCCGGGUUCAAAUUUCUCCUGCCUCAGCCUCCUAAGUGGCUGGGACUACAGGUGCCUGCCGCCACGCCUGGCUAAUUUUUUGUAUUUUAGUAGAGAUGGGGUUUAGGCUGGUCUCGAACUCCUUAGCUCAGGCAAUCUGCCCUCCUGAGCUCAGGCAAUCUGCCUGCCUGGGCCUCCCAAAGUGCUAGGAUUACAGGCAUGAGCCACCGCCCUCAGCCACUAUCUUAUUUUUUAGCGUAUCUGAAUUAAAAACAUAAAGUCUUCUCUAUGUAUGUUGAUGAUAAACUUUGGGUUUCAAGGAAAAGAGUCACUCAGGCAACUUCCAAGAAUGGGAGGGGAGAAGGGGUUAUUAUAGGAUACAGUGGAAAUAAAUCUGGGAGGAAUCUCAAUCAUGUUCCAAGAGCUUGCAGGGGCCCAGAGAAAUUCUCACAAUGAGGCCUCACAGGAAAAGCAAGAAUACCGAGAGCAGGAAAGCUUGGAGGCUAAGAGUUCCCUUGGAAGUUGAACUACUGCCUGAGAAUAUUAAAACAAAAACAGAAACACGUAAAUAGCCAGCCCUGAAACCAGCCUCUCAACUUCUGAUAGGUUAUAUUUACAUUUAUGUACUUCCCU
This 783-nucleotide long non-coding RNA is filed under the name Pan troglodytes (chimpanzee). Its description in RNAcentral is "lincRNA". The record is from RNAcentral. Lineage: Eukaryota; Metazoa; Chordata; Mammalia; Primates; Hominidae.